This 623-nucleotide long non-coding RNA is filed under the name Gossypium barbadense (sea-island cotton). RNAcentral describes it as "long non-coding RNA (GBAR_LNC018648)". The record is from RNAcentral. Lineage: Eukaryota; Viridiplantae; Streptophyta; Magnoliopsida; Malvales; Malvaceae.
UUGACCCUAGCACCUCCACGCCGCCGUCAUGCCCACCUUGAAGCCAGCACGACCGACGCUCGAAGCCAGGUCAGUGAUUUUCUUUUUAUUUUAUCUUUUAUAUAUAAAAAAAUGGAAAUCGAAAAAAGAAAAACAAAAAAUGGAGAAAAUCACCUAAAAAACUGCUUGUGUAUUGCUUUUUGAUUCUUUACAGAGUUUUUCUUCUCCCCUUACAGUACUUUUAAGAUUGCUUUUAUAGCAAUCGUGAAACAAGAAAAAAUAAAAAGAAAUCUUCUAGUAUCUGCUUGAUUCGAUUUCAAUAUUUUCUUGCCAUAUACUGCCUUGUUUCUUUUUUUGGGUUGUUUGCAGGUCAACCAGCGGACACUCCGGCGGUAACGGCGCAGACGUGUGUGAGGAGUGCGAAGGGCUUGGCUGUGGCUGGAGGCUAUUUUAGGGUUUCUUCUUUUUUGUGUGUGUUUUGGGCUAGGGUUAAUUUUAUUGGGCCAUACGGGUUAUUGGGUUUUGGGUUGUCUUUUAUUCUUUUGUUUUUUUGUUUUUGGUUUCUUUAGCGUGCCGGGCUAAAAUUGGGCCCUACACUAAUAUCAAUCUACUCUUCCAAGAACGUUUCAAUAUUAAUAAACUUG